AGAGUUUGAUCCUGGCUCAGAAUGAACGCUGGCGGCAGGCCUAACACAUGCAAGUCGAACGGAAACGACAAGAACAAACUCUUCGGAGGGCGAUCUUGGGCGUCGAGUGGCGGACGGGUGAGUAACGCGUGGGAAUCUACCCUUUAGUUGGGGACAACAUAUGGAAACGUAUGCUAAUACCGAAUAUGCUCUACGGAGUAAAGGUGGCCUCUACUUGUAAGCUAUCGCUAAAGGAUGAGCCCGCGUUAGAUUAGCUAGUUGGUGGGGUAAAGGCCUACCAAGGCGACGAUCUAUAGCUGGUUUGAGAGGAUGAUCAGCCACACUGGGACUGAGACACGGCCCAGACUCCUACGGGAGGCAGCAGUGGGGAAUAUUGCACAAUGAGGGAAACCUUGAUGCAGCCAUGCCGCGUGUGUGAAGAAGGCCCGAGGGUUGUAAAGCACUUUCAAUUGUGAGGAAAGGUUAGUCGCUAAUAUCGGCUAGCUGUGACGUUAACUUUAGAAGAAGCACCGGCUAACUCUGUGCCAGCAGCCGCGGUAAUACAGAGGGUGCAAGCGUUAUUCGGAAUUACUGGGCGUAAAGCGCGCGUAGGCGGACUGUUAAGUCGGUUGUGAAAGCCCUGGGCUCAACCUAGGAAUUGCAUCCGAUACUGGCAAUCUAGAGUUUAGGAGAGGGAAGUGGAAUUCCUGGUGUAGCAGUGAAAUGCGUAGAUAUCAGGAGGAACAUCAGUGGCGAAGGCGACUUCCUGGCCUAAAACUGACGCUGAGGUGCGAAAGCGUGGGUAGCGAACGGGAUUAGAUACCCCGGUAGUCCACGCCGUAAACGAUGUCAACUAGCUGUUGGCCUUAUUAAAAAGGUUAGUAGCGUAGCUAACGCGCUAAGUUGACCGCCUGGGGAGUACGGUCGCAAGAUUAAAACUCAAA
RNAcentral lists this ribosomal RNA (923 nucleotides) under uncultured bacterium. Its description in RNAcentral is "bacterial SSU rRNA". It matches the Rfam family "Bacterial small subunit ribosomal RNA", at positions 8 to 905 of the family's 1533-position model. The record is from RNAcentral.